RNAcentral lists this ribosomal RNA (253 nucleotides) under uncultured bacterium. RNAcentral describes it as "partial 16S ribosomal RNA". It matches the Rfam family "Bacterial small subunit ribosomal RNA", at positions 524 to 776 of the family's 1533-position model. The record is from RNAcentral.
UACAUAGGCCCUAAGCGUUAUCCGGAAUUACUGGGUGUAAAGAGUUCGUAGGUGGAUAUGACAGUUGUGUAUGAAAGUCCGGGGCUCAACCCCGCGAUUGUAUGCAAUACUCCAUGUCUAGAGUCGGGGAGAGGAAAGCAGAAUAGUAUGAGUAGGGGUGCAAUCCGUUGAUACAUACUAGAAUACCAAAAGCGAAGGCAGCUUUCUGGAACCGUACUGACACUGAGGAACGAAAGCGUGGGGAGCGAAAAGG